CGCUUCUUUUUCCACCGGAGCUUGCUCCACCGGAAAAAGAGGAGUGGCGAACGGGUGAGUAACACGUGGGUAACCUGCCCAUCAGAAGGGGAUAACACUUGGAAACAGGUGCUAAUACCGUAUAACAAUCGAAACCGCAUGGUUUUGAUUUGAAAGGCGCUUUCGGGUGUCGCUGAUGGAUGGACCCGCGGUGCAUUAGCUAGUUGGUGAGGUAACGGCUCACCAAGGCCACGAUGCAUAGCCGACCUGAGAGGGUGAUCGGCCACAUUGGGACUGAGACACGGCCCAAACUCCUACGGGAGGCAGCAGUAGGGAAUCUUCGGCAAUGGACGAAAGUCUGGCCGAGCAACGCCGCGUGAGUGAAGAAGGUUUUCGGAUCGUAAAACUCUGUUGUUAGAGAAGAACAAGGAUGAGAGUAACUGUUCAUCCCUUGACGGUAUCUAACCAGAAAGCCACGGCUAACUACGUGCCAGCAGCCGCGGUAAUACGUAGGUGGCAAGCGUUGUCCGGAUUUAUUGGGCGUAAAGCGAGCGCAGGCGGUUUCUUAAGUCUGAUGUGAAAGCCCCCGGCUCAACCGGGGAGGGUCAUUGGAAACUGGGAGACUUGAGUGCAGAAGAGGAGAGUGGAAUUCCAUGUGUAGCGGUGAAAUGCGUAGAUAUAUGGAGGAACACCAGUGGCGAAGGCGGCUCUCUGGUCUGUAACUGACGCUGAGGCUCGAAAGCGUGGGGAGCAAACAGG
Molecule: ribosomal RNA, 738 nt
Filed under: uncultured Bacilli bacterium
Lineage: Bacteria; Bacillati; Bacillota; Bacilli
Description: bacterial SSU rRNA
Rfam family: Bacterial small subunit ribosomal RNA
Source: RNAcentral